This 1124-nucleotide ribosomal RNA is filed under the name uncultured bacterium. Its description in RNAcentral is "bacterial SSU rRNA". It matches the Rfam family "Bacterial small subunit ribosomal RNA", at positions 9 to 1104 of the family's 1533-position model. The record is from RNAcentral.
GAGUUUGAUCCUGGCUCAGGAUCAACGCUGGCGGCGUGCCUCAGACAUGCAAGUCGAACGCGAAAUCUCCCUUCGGGGAGAAAGUAGAGUGGCGCACGGGUGAGUAACACGUAGGUAAUCUACCUCUGGGUGGGGAAUAACAGUCGGAAACGGCUGCUAAUACCGCAUAACGCAGCGGCACCACAUGGUGACAGUUGUUAAAGCGGGGGAACAGCAAUGUCCUCGCGCCUGGAGAGGAGCCUGCGGCGGAUUAGCUAGUUGGUAGGGUAACGGCCUACCAAGGCGACGAUCCGUAGCCGGCCUGAGAGGGCGGUCGGCCACACUGACACUGACACACGGGUCAGACUCCUACGGGAGGCAGCAGUCGGGAAUUUUGGGCAAUGGGCGAAAGCCUGACCCAGCAACGCCGCGUGAAGGAUGAAGUUUUUCGGAAUGUAAACUUCAUAAGACGGGGAAGAAUAAGUUUAGGUUAACACCCUGAACGAUGACGGUACCCGUUGUAAGCUCCGGCUAACUCCGUGCCAGCAGCCGCGGUAAUACGGGGGGAGCAAGCGUUGUUCGGAUUUACUGGGCGUAAAGGGCGCGUAGGCGGCGUGACAAGUCACUUGUGAAAUCUCCGGGCUUAACUCGGAGCGGUCAAGUGAUACUGUCGUGCUAGAGUGCGGAAGGGGCAACUGGAAUUCUCGGUGUAGCGGUGAAAUGCGUAGAUAUCGAGAGGAACACCUGCGGCGAAGGCGGGUUGCUGGGCCGACACUGACGCUGAGGCGCGAAAGCCAGGGGAGCGAACGGGAUUAGAUACCCCGGUAGUCCUGGCCUUAAACGAUGGAUGCUUGGUGUCCGGGGUUACAAAGUCCCCGGGUGCCGUCGCUAACGCCUUAAGCAUCCCGCCUGGGGAGUACGGUCGCAAGACUGAAACUCAAAGGAAUUGACGGGGACCCGCACAAGCGGUGGAGCAUGUGGUUUAAUUCGACGCAACGCGAAGAACCUUACCUGGGCUAGAAUGCCCCUGACAACCCUAGAGAUAGGGCCUUCUGGGUAAAACCAGACAGGGUGCAAGGUGCUGCAUGGCUGUCGUCAGCUCGUGUCGUGAGAUGUUGGGUUAAGUCCCGCAACGAGCGCAACCC